UUUGCCAAGCCAGUCAGUCCAGUCCAGUUCAGC
Molecule: small RNA, 33 nt
Filed under: Drosophila erecta
Lineage: Eukaryota; Metazoa; Arthropoda; Insecta; Diptera; Drosophilidae
Description: GG26919
Source: RNAcentral